RNAcentral lists this ribosomal RNA (557 nucleotides) under uncultured fungus. RNAcentral's name for it is "SSU rRNA". It matches the Rfam family "Eukaryotic small subunit ribosomal RNA", at positions 194 to 755 of the family's 1831-position model. Lineage: Eukaryota; Fungi. The record is from RNAcentral.
GGAAGGGGUGUAUUUAUUAGAUAAAAAACCAAUGCCCUUCGGGGCUCCUUGGUGAUUCAUGAUAACUUAACGAAUCGCAUGGCCUUGCGCCGGCGAUGGUUCAUUCAAAUUUCUGCCCUAUCAACUUUCGAUGGUAGGGUAGUGGCCUACCAUGGUAUCAACGGGUAACGGGGAAUUAGGGUUCUAUUCCGGAGAGGGAGCCUGAGAAACGGCUACCACAUCCAAGGAAGGCAGCAGGCGCGCAAAUUACCCAAUCCCGACACGGGGAGGUAGUGACAAUAAAUACUGAUACAGGGCUCUUUUGGGUCUUGUAAUUGGAAUGAGUACAAUUUAAAUACCUUAACGAGGAACAAUUGGAGGGCAAGUCUGGUGCCGGCAGCCGCGGUAAUUCCAGCUCCAAUAGCGUAUAUUAAAGUUGUUGCAGUUAAAAAGCUCGUAGUUGAACCUUGGGCCUGGCUGGCCGGUCCGCCUCACCGCGUGUACUGGUCCGGCCGGGCCUUUCCUUCUGGGGAUCCGCAUGCCCUUCACUGGGUGUGUCGGGGAACCAGGACUUUUAC